ACUCCUACGGGAGGCAGCAGUGGGGAAUAUUGGACAAUGGGCGCAAGCCUGAUCCAGCCAUGCCGCGUGAGUGAUGAAGGCCCUAGGGUUGUAAAGCUCUUUCACCGGUGAAGAUAAUGACGGUAACCGGAGAAGAAGCCCCGGCUAACUUCGUGCCAGCAGCCGCGGUAAUACGAAGGGGGCUAGCGUUGUUCGGAUUUACUGGGCGUAAAGCGCACGUAGGCGGACUAUUAAGUCAGGGGUGAAAUCCCGGGGCUCAACCCCGGAACUGCCUUUGAUACUGGUAGUCUUGAGUUCGAGAGAGGUGAGUGGAAUUCCGAGUGUAGAGGUGAAAUUCGUAGAUAUUCGGAGGAACACCAGUGGCGAAGGCGGCUCACUGGCUCGAUACUGACGCUGAGGUGCGAAAGCGUGGGGAGCAAACAGGAUUAGAUACCCUUGUAGUCCCAUGA
RNAcentral lists this ribosomal RNA (449 nucleotides) under uncultured organism. Its description in RNAcentral is "partial 16S ribosomal RNA". It matches the Rfam family "Bacterial small subunit ribosomal RNA", at positions 335 to 800 of the family's 1533-position model. The record is from RNAcentral.